This 72-nucleotide transfer RNA is filed under the name Dipodomys ordii (Ord's kangaroo rat). It matches the Rfam family "tRNA". Rfam says of the family: Transfer RNA (tRNA) molecules are approximately 80 nucleotides in length. Their secondary structure includes four short double-helical elements and three loops (D, anti-codon, and T loops). Lineage: Eukaryota; Metazoa; Chordata; Mammalia; Rodentia; Heteromyidae. The record is from Rfam by way of RNAcentral.
GGGAAGGUGGCUCAAUGGUAGAGCACUUGCCUUGCAAGCAUGAGGCCCUCGGUUCGAUUCCUCAGCAUCACA